GGGAACAGAUCAGGAAUGCAGGUCAGAAAUCCUGUAAAAAAUUAACAAGACGACAACAGAAUGGAGAAUAAAGAGAAAAGCAAUGGUGAGAUUAAAGAAAAACAGCCAGCGAAAAAGAAAGCGGUGCAGUUGCCCUGAAAUUGUUUUUCCCCCUCCGUGGUCCACCAAGGGCACCCACUUAAAGGUUUCUAGCUCCCAGCUAUGACCUGUCCUGCACAGAGACCCAUGUC
Dermochelys coriacea (leatherback sea turtle) is the source of this 230-nucleotide long non-coding RNA. RefSeq lists it as uncharacterized. The record is from RefSeq and is a predicted model, not a curated record. The transcript has 3 exons. Lineage: Eukaryota; Metazoa; Chordata; Testudines; Dermochelyidae.